UUUUGCUUAGUUCAAAGAUUAGAGCAUCGCACUUGUAAUGUGAUGCUAAUCGGUUCGAUCUCGAUAGCAGACU
Molecule: transfer RNA, 73 nt
Filed under: Ephedra californica
Lineage: Eukaryota; Viridiplantae; Streptophyta; Gnetopsida; Ephedrales; Ephedraceae
Description: tRNA-Thr
Rfam family: tRNA
About the family: Transfer RNA (tRNA) molecules are approximately 80 nucleotides in length. Their secondary structure includes four short double-helical elements and three loops (D, anti-codon, and T loops).
Source: RNAcentral